RNAcentral lists this ribosomal RNA (1476 nucleotides) under Weissella confusa. Its description in RNAcentral is "bacterial SSU rRNA". It matches the Rfam family "Bacterial small subunit ribosomal RNA". Lineage: Bacteria; Bacillati; Bacillota; Bacilli; Lactobacillales; Lactobacillaceae. The record is from RNAcentral.
UAAUACAUGCAAGUCGAACGCUUUGUGGUUCAACUGAUUUGAAGAGCUUGCUCAGAUAUGACGAUGGACAUUGCAAAGAGUGGCGAACGGGUGAGUAACACGUGGGAAACCUACCUCUUAGCAGGGGAUAACAUUUGGAAACAGAUGCUAAUACCGUAUAACAAUGACAACCGCAUGGUUGUUAUUUAAAAGAUGGUUCUGCUAUCACUAAGAGAUGGUCCCGCGGUGCAUUAGCUAGUUGGUAAGGUAAUGGCUUACCAAGGCGAUGAUGCAUAGCCGAGUUGAGAGACUGAUCGGCCACAAUGGGACUGAGACACGGCCCAUACUCCUACGGGAGGCAGCAGUAGGGAAUCUUCCACAAUGGGCGAAAGCCUGAUGGAGCAACGCCGCGUGUGUGAUGAAGGGUUUCGGCUCGUAAAACACUGUUGUAAGAGAAGAAUGACAUUGAGAGUAACUGUUCAAUGUGUGACGGUAUCUUACCAGAAAGGAACGGCUAAAUACGUGCCAGCAGCCGCGGUAAUACGUAUGUUCCAAGCGUUAUCCGGAUUUAUUGGGCGUAAAGCGAGCGCAGACGGUUAUUUAAGUCUGAAGUGAAAGCCCUCAGCUCAACUGAGGAAUUGCUUUGGAAACUGGAUGACUUGAGUGCAGUAGAGGAAAGUGGAACUCCAUGUGUAGCGGUGAAAUGCGUAGAUAUAUGGAAGAACACCAGUGGCGAAGGCGGCUUUCUGGACUGUAACUGACGUUGAGGCUCGAAAGUGUGGGUAGCAAACAGGAUUAGAUACCCUGGUAGUCCACACCGUAAACGAUGAGUGCUAGGUGUUUGAGGGUUUCCGCCCUUAAGUGCCGCAGCUAACGCAUUAAGCACUCCGCCUGGGGAGUACGACCGCAAGGUUGAAACUCAAAGGAAUUGACGGGGACCCGCACAAGCGGUGGAGCAUGUGGUUUAAUUCGAAGCAACGCGAAGAACCUUACCAGGUCUUGACAUCCCUUGACAACUCCAGAGAUGGAGCGUUCCCUUCGGGGACAAGGUGACAGGUGGUGCAUGGUUGUCGUCAGCUCGUGUCGUGAGAUGUUGGGUUAAGUCCCGCAACGAGCGCAACCCUUAUUACUAGUUGCCAGCAUUCAGUUGGGCACUCUAGUGAGACUGCCGGUGACAAACCGGAGGAAGGUGGGGAUGACGUCAAAUCAUCAUGCCCCUUAUGACCUGGGCUACACACGUGCUACAAUGGCGUAUACAACGAGUUGCCAACCCGCGAGGGUGAGCUAAUCUCUUAAAGUACGUCUCAGUUCGGAUUGUAGGCUGCAACUCGCCUACAUGAAGUCGGAAUCGCUAGUAAUCGCGGAUCAGCACGCCGCGGUGAAUACGUUCCCGGGUCUUGUACACACCGCCCGUCACACCAUGAGAGUUUGUAACACCCAAAGCCGGUGGGGUAACCUUCGGGAGCCAGCCGUCUAAAGUGGGACAGAUGAUUAGGG